AGCACACAACAGGUGGAGCCUGCGGGUUUAAUCGGACUCAACGCCGGGAAACUCACCAGAUAAGACAGCUGAAUGAUAGUCGGGCUGAAGACUCUACUUGACUAGCUGAGAGGAGGUGCAUGGCCGUCGUCAGUUCGUACUGUGAAGCAUCCUGUUAAGUCAGGCAACGAGCGAGACCCACGCCAACAGUUGCCAGCUCGUCCUCCGGGAUGGUGGGGACACUGUUGGGACCGCUCUGCUAAAGAGGAGGAAGGAAUGGGCAACGGUAGGUCAGCAUGCCCCGAAUUAUCUGGGCUACACGCGGGCUACAAUGGGUGGGACAAUGGGUAUCGACACCGAAAGGUGAAGGCAAUCUCCUAAACCCAUCCGUAGUUCGGAUUGUGGGCUGCAACUCGCCCACAUGAAGCUGGAAUCUGUAGUAAUCGUGUCUCAAAAUGGCACGGUGAAUAUGUCCCUGCUCCUU
RNAcentral lists this ribosomal RNA (463 nucleotides) under uncultured Methanomicrobiales archaeon. Its description in RNAcentral is "bacterial SSU rRNA". It matches the Rfam family "Archaeal small subunit ribosomal RNA", at positions 875 to 1338 of the family's 1478-position model. Lineage: Archaea; Methanobacteriati; Methanobacteriota; Methanomicrobia; Methanomicrobiales. The record is from RNAcentral.